Molecule: ribosomal RNA, 496 nt
Filed under: uncultured bacterium
Lineage: Bacteria
Description: partial 16S ribosomal RNA
Rfam family: Bacterial small subunit ribosomal RNA
Source: RNAcentral
AUGAACGCUGGCGGCGUGCCUAAUACAUGCAAGUCGAGCGAACAGACGAGGAGCUUGCUCCUCUGACGUUAGCGGCGGACGGGUGAGUAACACGUGGAUAACCUACCUAUAAGACUGGGAAAACUUCGGGAAACCGGAGCUAAUACCGGAUAAUAUAUUGAACCGCAUGGCUCAAUAGUAAAAGACGGUUUUGCUGUCACUUAUAGAUGGAUCCGCGCCGCAUUAGCUAGUUGGUAAGGUAACGGCUUACCAAGGCAACGAUGCGUAGCCGACCUGAGAGGGUGAUCGGCCACACUGGAACUGAGACACGGUCCAGACUCCUACGGGAGGCAGCAGUAGGGAAUCUUCCGCAAUGGGCGAAAGCCUGACGGAGCAACGCCGCGUGAGUGAUGAAGGUCUUCGGAUCGUAAAACUCUGUUAUUAGGGAAGAACAAAUGUGUAAGUAACUAUGCACGUCUUGACGGUACCUAAUCAGAAAGCCACGGCUAACUACGUG